CGACCGGCGCACGGGUGAGUAACGCGUAUGCAACCUACCUAUCAGAGGGGAAUAACCCGGCGAAAGUCGGACUAAUACCGCAUAAAACAGGGGUUCCACAUGGAAAUAUUUGUUAAAGAAUUAUCGCUGAUAGAUGGGCAUGCGUUCCAUUAGAUAGUUGGUGAGGUAACGGCUCACCAAGUCCACGAUGGAUAGGGGUUCUGAGAGGAAGGUCCCCCACACUGGUACUGAGACACGGACCAGACUCCUACGGGAGGCAGCAG
Molecule: ribosomal RNA, 263 nt
Filed under: uncultured bacterium
Lineage: Bacteria
Description: partial 16S ribosomal RNA
Rfam family: Bacterial small subunit ribosomal RNA
Source: RNAcentral